Molecule: long non-coding RNA, 245 nt
Filed under: Sorghum bicolor (sorghum)
Lineage: Eukaryota; Viridiplantae; Streptophyta; Magnoliopsida; Poales; Poaceae
Description: long non-coding RNA (SBIC_LNC018031)
Source: RNAcentral
ACAUGUACAUGGAUAUGAAAUGAAUACUCAAUUGAGUUUACUUUACUUUUUGAUGCUUGUGUGAUCCAUUUUCACCCAACAUCUGGUACCCACCGUUUGUAUGUGCUCCCACGACCAUAGGACAACAAUGGCUAGAAACACGAAGAAAAUAAUAUACCCAAUGAAACUAAAGAUGGCCUACCAAGAAACGAUGGAGAGCAAGGUCUCAACCAAAUGAAGCAAGGACUCACAGACCCAAGUGCCUC